This is a long non-coding RNA of Malaya genurostris, 1381 nucleotides long. RefSeq lists it as uncharacterized. NCBI's taxonomy places the organism in Eukaryota, Metazoa, Arthropoda, Insecta, Diptera, Culicidae. The transcript is spliced from 2 exons. The record is from RefSeq and is a predicted model, not a curated record.
AUAAGCAAGUGACAGUUUCUCUUUAAUCACUCUCUUUUUCGAUUAUUGUGAUGUGAUUAAAAAGAUUUUCUUUGAUAUCACUAUUCUGUUUGAAAGUCGAAAGUUUCGGGUAUCAUUUCAUGCAAAGAGUUGAGUAAUAAACGUGGGAACUGCUUGAUAAUUAAUAGAAGAGAAAGUAAAUAAAGAGAAACUGUCACUUGCUUAUACGCCCUAUUGAAAAAUCAACCGAGAAUUCUCCAUACAAAUUUGGAUUUUCAUUAUUUUAGUAAUCAUUAAAAAUGACAAUAAUAGUUCUCGGCCCUUGCACGAGUGAGGGCCGCUUCAGAUUCGAGAACCACUUAAUCAAGCGCGAAAGUGUACGUUAAUGGUGAAAUCAUCUGGAUUGAAAUGGAAUCAUCAAAUCCUCAAAAAUGUCCGAUUUGUGGCAAGCACUUUACAAGGAAGCGUCAACUCCACGAACAUAUGUUGUCACAUGAAAACAAGGAACCAUUUAGUUGCAACAUUUGUUGAAAAUUCAUCCAAUGUCUGUCGUCAGCAAAAUAGGUUAUCCAGCGUAAAAAACUGCCGGCAACCUGCCGCACUAAGGAUUUGUUCACAAUAUUGAAGAUUAGUCUAUAUUUUUCUUAGCUUUAAGUUAGUUCCAAAAACAAUACAUUUCUACACGAAAUUUUCAAAACGACGAAAGUAACAUUUCGGUAGAACAGAGAAAAACUAUGUUGAAAACAAUUUAAAUUUAUAUUCAAAAUUGAGUAAUUAUAAGACCCUGUUCUUGAAUGGUGUUUUUUCACUAUCACAGAACGUCUCAUGUGGGUUAUUCACACACAACGUCGCCACCACGGAACGUUCAUGUACUAUUCAGACGAUCCGUCUCCUUCCAUCACAGUCGACCUCCGUCACCGUCAACAACCGAAGGUCAACUUGCUGAAGUGGACAGUUCUCUACGACAGAGUUCAAAUCGGUUCGAUACUUUUUCUUGAUUUGUGAGAGCUUCACCACCCCCUGGGUUCCAUGAACACUAAAUAUGUUAUAUAGACGUGAAAAUAACUUCACUUUUCUUUCAAAUUUUUAUGAGCCCCCCAGCUUUCUCCUCCCUCUCAAUCUCCACCCCCCCUGAACCACCACCCUUUUGAACCAUCCCUUGAAACCCGUCCACUGCAGAAAGUUCACUUGCUGAUGAGCACAGCAAUCAUCUCCACAGGAUUCCAGAGCCGCACAGAGGUGCAAGUCGGUUUGAUACUAAUUCUGUGUGAACGGGUUCUGUAUAUAUAGUAGCGCCUAUGUCAUGCGAAAUUGUCCUACUCAAUAACAUAACCAAUUGUACGGAGAAAUCAGUGUAUUGUGAACAAAAAUACAACGACGUAAUCGAAUGUAACACGAAUAA